CCGCGUCGAUGGUCGAGCGGCCCUCCCUU
RNAcentral lists this small RNA (29 nucleotides) under Bombyx mori (domestic silkworm). RNAcentral describes it as "ovarian small RNA-13877". The record is from RNAcentral. Lineage: Eukaryota; Metazoa; Arthropoda; Insecta; Lepidoptera; Bombycidae.